Molecule: ribosomal RNA, 253 nt
Filed under: uncultured bacterium
Lineage: Bacteria
Description: partial 16S ribosomal RNA
Rfam family: Bacterial small subunit ribosomal RNA
Source: RNAcentral
UACGUAGGGUGCGAGCGUUGUCCGGAAUUAUUGGGCGUAAAGGGCUCGUAGGCGGUUUGUCGCGUCGGGAGUGAAAACCAUGGGCUUAACUCAUGGCUUGCUUUCGAUACGGGCAGACUAGAGGUAUGCAGGGGAGAACGGAAUUCCUGGUGUAGCGGUGAAAUGCGCAGAUAUCAGGAGGAACACCGGUGGCGAAGGCGGUUCUCUGGGCAUGACCUGACGCUGAGGAGCGAAAGCGUGGGGAGCGAACAGG